This 69-nucleotide transfer RNA is filed under the name Presbytis femoralis percura. Its description in RNAcentral is "tRNA-Trp". Lineage: Eukaryota; Metazoa; Chordata; Mammalia; Primates; Cercopithecidae. The record is from RNAcentral.
AGAAAUUUAGGUUAAGCAUAGACCAAAAGCCUUCAAAGCUCUCAGUAAGUUAAAUAAACUUAAUUUCUG